AGUGAACGCUGGCGGUAGGCCUAACACAUGCAAGUCGAACGGCAGCACAGUAAGAGCUUGCUCUUACGGGUGGCGAGUGGCGGACGGGUGAGGAAUACAUCGGAAUCUACUUUUUCGUGGGGGAUAACGUAGGGAAACUUACGCUAAUACCGCAUACGACCUACGGGUGAAAGCAGGGGAUCUUCGGACCUUGCGCGAUUGAAUGAGCCGAUGUCGGAUUAGCUAGUUGGCGGGGUAAAGGCCCACCAAGGCGACGAUCCGUAGCUGGUCUGAGAGGAUGAUCAGCCACACUGGAACGGAGACACGGUCCAGACCCCUACGGGAGGCAGCAGUGGGGAAUAUUGGACAAUGGGCGCAAGCCUGAUCCAGCCAUACCGCGUGGGUGAAGAAGGCCUUCGGGUUGUAAAGCCCUUUUGUUGGGAAAGAAAAGCAGCAGGUUAAUACCCCGCUGUUCUGACGGUACCCAAAGAAUAAGCACCGGCUAACUUCGUG
Molecule: ribosomal RNA, 492 nt
Filed under: uncultured bacterium
Lineage: Bacteria
Description: partial 16S ribosomal RNA
Rfam family: Bacterial small subunit ribosomal RNA
Source: RNAcentral